AUGCAAGUCGAGCGGGGGAAGGUAGCUUGCUACUGGACCUAGCGGCGGACGGGUGAGUAAUGCUUAGGAAUCUGCCUAUUAGUGGGGGACAACAUCUCGAAAGGGAUGCUAAUACCGCAUACGUCCUACGGGAGAAAGCAGGGGAUCUUCGGACCUUGCGCUAAUAGAUGAGCCUAAGUCGGAUUAGCUAGUUGGUGGGGUAAAGGCCUACCAAGGCGACGAUCUGUAGCGGGUCUGAGAGGAUGAUCCGCCACACUGGGACUGAGACACGGCCCAGACUCCUACGGGAGGCAGCAGUGGGGAAUAUUGGACAAUGGGGGGAACCCUGAUCCAGCCAUGCCGCGUGUGUGAAGAAGGCCUUACGGUUGUAAAGCACUUUAAGCGAGGAGGAGGCUACUUUAGUUAAUACCUAGAGAUAGUGGACGUUACUCGCAGAAUAAGCACCGGCUAACUCUGUGCCAGCAGCCGCGGUAAUACAGAGGGUGCGAGCGUUAAUCGGAUUUACUGGGCGUAAAGCGUGCGUAGGCGGCUUAUUAAGUCGGAUGUGAAAUCCCCGAGCUUAACUUGGGAAUUGCAUUCGAUACUGGUGAGCUAGAGUAUG
RNAcentral lists this ribosomal RNA (601 nucleotides) under Acinetobacter baumannii OIFC032. Its description in RNAcentral is "bacterial SSU rRNA". It matches the Rfam family "Bacterial small subunit ribosomal RNA", at positions 55 to 650 of the family's 1533-position model. The record is from RNAcentral. Lineage: Bacteria; Pseudomonadati; Pseudomonadota; Gammaproteobacteria; Moraxellales; Moraxellaceae.